CGGGGUGAGUACCACGUGGGCAAUCUACCUUUCGGUGAGGAAUACCGGCGAGAAAUCGCCGACAAUACCGCAUACGCUCGGGCAACCGAGCAAAGUCGCAAGACGCCGGAGGAGGAGCCUGCGCCCGAUUAGCUAGUUGGUGGAGUAAUGGUCUACCAAGGCGACGAUCGGUAGCUGGUCUGAGAGGAUGAUCAGCCACACUGGGAUUGAGAACGGCCCAG
Molecule: ribosomal RNA, 221 nt
Filed under: uncultured bacterium
Lineage: Bacteria
Description: partial 16S ribosomal RNA
Rfam family: Bacterial small subunit ribosomal RNA
Source: RNAcentral